Molecule: long non-coding RNA, 111 nt
Organism: Carassius auratus (goldfish)
Lineage: Eukaryota; Metazoa; Chordata; Actinopteri; Cypriniformes; Cyprinidae
Exons: 3
Source: RefSeq, a predicted model, not a curated record
CUGUAUGCCUCCUCUCUUGUCAGUGUGAAACUUCUUUGAAACAAACUUUAUUGUAUGAAUCGUCAUAUGAAUAAAGUGUAGAGUGACAGAUCGCUGUAGAGCCUCAAUUCA